GGAAAAGCCACCGAGAGGCCUGACCCUGAGGGGUCGGGGGGAGAUGCGGGCGCGUAGUAGAGGGAAGCGACUGAGGAGCGGGGACUGGGCAGCAUUUGAAUGGAUGCGGGUGCCGCUGGCACCCGGGAAGACGCCUGGGAGCCGGCGCUGGGGAGCCGGGCAUGGGCUGGGAUGUGUUUGGAUUCCAAUCUGGGCCUGACACCAGUUCAGUGACCUCGGGAAGUUCCCCAACCCUGCGGGCCUGUUUCCUCCCUCUGAAGUGGCGACAGUAAUAGAACCGACCUCGUAGGCUCAUCGGGAGGUCCUGAUGGGAGAACCCAUGCAACUUGCCACCACAGAGCCAGGCCCGCGGCGACUGGCUCCUGGUGGGUAUUAAAGACGAGUCGGGAAAGAAGAGCAGGCUCAAUCAAACCUUCAAUGGCCCCGAAAGACAUCUUGAUUGAAACCUCAUGAGAGACUCUGAGCCAGAAAACCCAGCAACUUAGAACCCAGAUACCUGACCAUCAGCCACUGUGUGAAAUAAUAAAUGUUUGUUGUUUUAAGCUGCUAGUAAUAUGAGUGUCUUGAGAAACAAAGCCAGUCGGGCUGCACUUAAGGCUGGCUUUGUGUUCCCUCCAGCCUUUGUCUUCCCCCAUCAUGACAACUUGUGCUCUUUCUCCCAGGAGGCUGAGGAUGCUGCUCUGAAACCAGCCAGGAGACCUCUGGGAAGAUACCUUGAUUCCAAAGAGUGAAUUUAUUGGAUGGCAGGCAGUGAGUCCUGUGGGUGAUGAGCCAGCAGCAUCCAGUGUCCAGUUACCACCUGCGGGGAAUACGGGGACAGUUGGUGGCAACAGCUGUGGAGGCCCCAUCUGCUCCCUGGACCACAGCCAUGCCAGUGUAACCCAGAACUCUGCAGUGCCAAUGGAAAUCUCCAGGUGCCAUACCUUGCUUCCUGCUCAGGUAGAGGUGGCAGACCCUCUGGACUCAGCCUUACUUCCUCUCCUCUCCCCAUCCAGACACUCCAAGCACCCUGUAAUCACCCAACCUUUGUCUCAAAUCACUUUCUGCUCAAAGUACCUCCAGUGGUUCCUAUGUCCUGCACUGAACUCUGCUGACUCAUACAAUUUUUUUUUUUU
This 1115-nucleotide long non-coding RNA is filed under the name Homo sapiens (human). Its description in RNAcentral is "HSALNT0012842". The record is from RNAcentral. Lineage: Eukaryota; Metazoa; Chordata; Mammalia; Primates; Hominidae.